RNAcentral lists this ribosomal RNA (1109 nucleotides) under uncultured organism. Its description in RNAcentral is "bacterial SSU rRNA". It matches the Rfam family "Bacterial small subunit ribosomal RNA", at positions 112 to 1252 of the family's 1533-position model. The record is from RNAcentral.
AACACGUGGGUGACCUGCCUCGAAGACGGGGAUAACUACUGGAAACGGUGGCUAAUACCCGAUGGUCUCGAUAAUUCGGUUUAUCGAGUAAAGGCUCCGGCGCUUUGAGAGGGACCUGCGGCCCAUCAGCUAGUUGGUAGGGUAAUGGCCUACCAAGGCAAAGACGGGUAGGGGGCGUGAGAGCGUGACCCCCCACACUGGCACUGGGACACGGGCCAGACUCCUACGGGAGGCAGCAGUGAGGAAUAUUGCGCAAUGAGCGAAAGCUAGACGCAGCAACGCCGCGUGGGUGAUGAAGGCCUUCGGGUCGUAAAACCCUUUUCUGGGGGAAGAGUAAGGACGGUACCCCAGGAAUAAGCCUCGGCUAACUAUGUGCCAGCAGCCGCGGUAAUACAUAGGAGGCAAGCGUUAUCCGGAUUUACUGGGCGUAAAGAGCGUUGAGGCGGCUUCGUAAGUUGGACGUGAAAGCUCCCGGCUUAACUGGGAGAGGCCGUUCAAUACUGCGGGGCUUGAGGACAGCAGAGGGGGGUGGAAUUUCCGGUGUAGUGGUGAAAUGCGUAGAUAUCGGAAGGAACACCAGUGGCGAAGGCGGCCCCCUGGGCUGCUCCUGACGCUGAAGGCGAAAGCUAGGGUAGCGAACGGGAUUAGAAACCCCGGUAGUCCUAGCCGUAAACGAUGGAUACUAGGUGUAGGAGGUUAAAAUUCCUUCUGUGCCGGAGCUAACGCGUUAAGUAUCCCGCCUGGGGAGUACGGUCGCAAGGCUAAAACUCAAAGGAAUUGACGGGGGCCCGCACAAGCAGCGGAGCGUGUGGUUUACUUGGAUGUAACGCGAAGAACCUUACCAGGGCUUGACAUGUAGGUAGUAGUGAAGCGAAAGCGGAACGAUCCUUCGGGAAGCGUACUCAGGUUCUGCAUGGCAGUUGUCAGCUGGUGCCGUGAGGUGUUAGGUUAAGUCCUGUAAAGAGGGCAACCCCGGCCGUUAGUUACAAGUGUCUAAGCGGGACUGCCCGGCAAAACUGGGUAGGAGAGGUGGGGAUGACGUCAAGUCAGCAUGGCCUUUAUGUCCUGGGCUACACACACGCUACAAUGGCCGGUACAAUGGGUUGCCA